UACGGAGGAUGCAAGCGUUAUCCGGAAUUAUUGGGCGUAAAGCGUCCGUAGGUGGUUGAGUAAGUCAGUUGUUAAAGCGUGGAGCUUAACUCCAUAACGGCAAUUGAAACUACUCGGCUAGAGUGCGAUAGGGGCAAGGGGAAUUCCCAGUGUAGCGGUGAAAUGCGUAGAUAUUGGGAAGAACACCGGUGGCGAAAGCGCCUUGCUGGGUCUGCACUGACACUGAG
This 227-nucleotide ribosomal RNA is filed under the name uncultured bacterium. RNAcentral's name for it is "partial 16S ribosomal RNA". It matches the Rfam family "Bacterial small subunit ribosomal RNA", at positions 524 to 750 of the family's 1533-position model. The record is from RNAcentral.